CCUACGGGAGGCAGCAGUGGGGAAUAUUGGGCAAUGGGCGCAAGCCUGACCCAGCAACGCCGCGUGAAGGACGAAUGCUUUCGGGGUGUAAACUUCUUUUCUGAGGGACGAAGAAAUUAACGGUACCUCAGUAAUAAGCCACCGCUAACAACGUGCCAGCAGCCGCGGUAAUCCGUAGGUGGCAAGCGUUAUCCGGAUUUAUUGGGUUUAAAGGGCGUGUAGGCGGGAAAGCAAGUCAGAUGUGAAAACUUAGGGCUCAACCCUGAGACUGCAGUUGAUACUGUUUUUCUUGAGUGCUGGAGAGGUAAGCGGAAUUCGGUGUGUAGCGGUGAAAUGCGUAGAUAUACGGAGGAACACCAGUGGCGAAGGCAGAUUGCUGGACAGUAACUGACGCUGAGGCGCGAAAGCGUGGGGAGCAAACAGGAUUAGAUACCCGAGUAGUC
Molecule: ribosomal RNA, 443 nt
Filed under: uncultured bacterium
Lineage: Bacteria
Description: partial 16S ribosomal RNA
Rfam family: Bacterial small subunit ribosomal RNA
Source: RNAcentral